UGGGGGAUAUUGCACAAUGGGCGAAAGCCUGAUGCAGCGACGCCGCGUGGGGGAUGAAGGCUUUCGGGUUGUAAACCUCUUUCGCUAUCGAACAAGGCCCGCUUAGGGUGGGUUGAGGGUAGGUGGAGAAGAAGCGCCGGCUAACUACGUGCCAGCAGCCGCGGUAAUACGGAGGGCGCGAGCGUUGUCCGGUAUUAUUGGGCGUAAAGGGCUUGUAGGCGGCUUGUUGCGCCUGCUGUGAAAACGCGGGGCUUAACUUCGCGCGUGCAGUGGGUACGGGAAGGCUGGAGUGUGGUAGGGGUGACUGGAAUUCCAGGUGUAGCGGUGGAAUGCGCAGAUAUCUGGAGGAACACCGAUGGCGAAGGCAGGUCACUGGGCCAUUACUGACGCUGAGGAGCGAAAGCAUGGGUAGCGAACAGG
Molecule: ribosomal RNA, 420 nt
Filed under: bacterium
Lineage: Bacteria
Description: partial 16S ribosomal RNA
Rfam family: Bacterial small subunit ribosomal RNA
Source: RNAcentral